UUGUUCGGAAUUACUGGGCGUAAAGGGCUCGUAGGUGGCCAACUAAGUCAGACGUGAAAUCCCUCAGCUUAACUGGGGAACUGCGUCUGAUACUGGAUGGCUUGAGUUUGGGAGAGGGAUGCGGAAUUCCAGGUGUAGCGGUGAAAUGCGUAGAUAUCUGGAGGAACACCGGUGGCGAAGGCGGCAUCCUGGACCAACACUGACACUGAGGAGCGAAAGCCAGGGGAGCAAACGGG
This 236-nucleotide ribosomal RNA is filed under the name uncultured bacterium. Its description in RNAcentral is "partial 16S ribosomal RNA". It matches the Rfam family "Bacterial small subunit ribosomal RNA", at positions 541 to 776 of the family's 1533-position model. The record is from RNAcentral.